This 73-nucleotide transfer RNA is filed under the name Camelus bactrianus (Bactrian camel). It matches the Rfam family "tRNA". From Rfam's summary of the family: Transfer RNA (tRNA) molecules are approximately 80 nucleotides in length. Their secondary structure includes four short double-helical elements and three loops (D, anti-codon, and T loops). The record is from Rfam by way of RNAcentral. Lineage: Eukaryota; Metazoa; Chordata; Mammalia; Artiodactyla; Camelidae. RNAcentral also lists the same sequence under 2 other names.
GAGGGGAUAGCUCCAGUGGUAGAGCACAUGCUUAGCAUGCAGAAGGUCCUGGGUUCAAUCCCCAGUGCCUCCU